Molecule: long non-coding RNA, 484 nt
Filed under: Pelobates cultripes (western spadefoot toad)
Lineage: Eukaryota; Metazoa; Chordata; Amphibia; Anura; Pelobatidae
Source: RNAcentral
GAGAGAUUGACAUUCAUCACAUACACACAAUGCAUCCCUUGCACACAGAAAAACACACAAUGCAUUACACACACAGACACACAUACACAAGCAAUGCAACCGUUACACACAAUGCAUCCCUUACACACACAGAAACACACAAUACAUUCAUUACACACACUCAAUGCACCCCUUACACACAUUCAAUGCAUCCCAUACAUACACAGAAACACACCUUGCAGCCCUUACACAUACAAACACAAUUUCACACAAUGCAUUCCUUACACACAUAUCAGGACAUCCCCUACACACUCCAUCCCCUGUGAACAAACUCAUUGGUGGAACAUGAAGGUGGACCCUGGGACCCAGACCUUGAGGACCCCCAAAAAAUGGAGCUGCUUCCUGUACUCCCAGAACAUUGAUUUUUGUGACCACAGUUACAAACCGCCUCCAGAGAGCCUGUUCUGCACCAGACCAGUGGAGCCAGACUGCAGCUAGAGCCCAU